GGGUUGUGAGGUUAAGCGACCAAGCGUACACGGUGGAUGCCCUGGCAGUCAGAGGCGAUGAAGGACGUGCUAAUCUGCGAUAAGCGCCGGUAAGGUGAUAUGAACCGUUAUAACCGGCGAUUUCCGAAUGGGGAAACCCAGUGUGACUCGUCACACUAUCAUUAACUGAAUCCAUAGGUUAAUGAGGCGAACCGGGGGAACUGAAACAUCUAAGUACCCCGAGGAAAAGAAAUCAACCGAGAUUCCCCCAGUAGCGGCGAGCGAACGGGGAGGAGCCCAGAGCCUGAAUCAGCAUGUGUGUUAGUGGAAGCGUCUGGAAAGGCGCGCGAUACAGGGUGACAGCCCCGUACACAAAAGCGCAUAUGCUGUGAGCUCGAUGAGUAGGGCGGGACACGUGGUAUCCUGUCUGAAUAUGGGGGGACCAUCCUCCAAGGCUAAAUACUCCUGACUGACCGAUAGUGAACCAGUACCGUGAGGGAAAGGCGAAAAGAACCCCGGCGAGGGGAGUGAAACAGAACCUGAAACCGUGUACGUACAAGCAGUGGGAGCACAGGUUUACCUGUGUGACUGCGUACCUUUUGUAUAAUGGGUCAGCGACUUAUAUUCUGUAGCAAGGUUAACCGCAUAGGGGAGCCGAAGGGAAACCGAGUCUUAACCGGGCGUUAAGUUGCAGGGUAUAGACCCGAAACCCGGUGAUCUAGCCAUGGGCAGGUUGAAGGUUGGGUAACACUAACUGGAGGACCGAACCGACUAAUGUUGAAAAAUUAGCGGAUGACCUGUGGCUGGGGGUGAAAGGCCAAUCAAACCGGGAGAUAGCUGGUUCUCCCCGAAAGCUAUUUAGGUAGCGCCUCGUGAAUUCAUCUUCGGGGGUAGAGCACUGUUUCGGCUAGGGGGUCAUCCCGACUUACCAACCCGAUGCAAACUGCGAAUACCGGAGAAUGUUAUCACGGGAGACACACGGCGGGUGCUAACGUCCGUCGUGAAGAGGGAAACAACCCAGACCGCCAGCUAAGGUCCCAAAGUCAUGGUUAAGUGGGAAACGAUGUGGGAAGGCCCAGACAGCCAGGAUGUUGGCUUAGAAGCAGCCAUCAUUUAAAGAAAGCGUAAUAGCUCACUGGUCGAGUCGGCCUGCGCGGAAGAUGUAACGGGGCUAAACCAUGCACCGAAGCUGCGGCAGCGACACUGUGUGUUGUUGGGUAGGGGAGCGUUCUGUAAGCCGUUGAAGGUGUGUCGUGAGGCAUGCUGGAGGUAUCAGAAGUGCGAAUGCUGACAUAAGUAACGAUAAAGCGGGUGAAAAGCCCGCUCGCCGGAAGACCAAGGGUUCCUGUCCAACGUUAAUCGGGGCAGGGUGAGUCGACCCCUAAGGCGAGGCCGAAAGGCGUAGUCGAUGGGAAACGGGUUAAUAUUCCCGUACUUGGUGUUACUGCGAAGGGGGGACGGAGAAGGCUAUGUUGGCCGGGCGACGGUUGUCCCGGUUUAAGCGUGCAGGUGUGUGUUCCAGGUAAAUCCGGUUCACUUUAACACUGAGGCGUGACGACGAGGCACCACGGUGCUGAAGCAACAAAUGCCCUGCUUCCAGGAAAAGCCUCUAAGCAUCAGGUAACAUCAAAUCGUACCCCAAACCGACACAGGUGGUCAGGUAGAGAAUACCAAGGCGCUUGAGAGAACUCGGGUGAAGGAACUAGGCAAAAUGGUGCCGUAACUUCGGGAGAAGGCACGCUGACAUGUAGGUGAAGUGGUUUACCCAUGGAGCUGAAGUCAGUCGAAGAUACCAGCUGGCUGCAACUGUUUAUUAAAAACACAGCACUGUGCAAACACGAAAGUGGACGUAUACGGUGUGACGCCUGCCCGGUGCCGGAAGGUUAAUUGAUGGGGUCAGCGCAAGCGAAGCUCCUGAUCGAAGCCCCGGUAAACGGCGGCCGUAACUAUAACGGUCCUAAGGUAGCGAAAUUCCUUGUCGGGUAAGUUCCGACCUGCACGAAUGGCGUAAUGAUGGCCAGGCUGUCUCCACCCGAGACUCAGUGAAAUUGAACUCGCUGUGAAGAUGCAGUGUACCCGCGGCAAGACGGAAAGACCCCGUGAACCUUUACUAUAGCUUGACACUGAACAUUGAGCCUUGAUGUGUAGGAUAGGUGGGAGGCUUUGAAGCGUGGACGCCAGUCUGCGUGGAGCCGACCUUGAAAUACCACCCUUUAAUGUUUGAUGUUCUAACGUGGACCCGUAAUCCGGGUUGCGGACAGUGUCUGGUGGGUAGUUUGACUGGGGCGGUCUCCUCCUAAAGAGUAACGGAGGAGCACGAAGGUUGGCUAAUCCUGGUCGGACAUCAGGAGGUUAGUGCAAUGGCAUAAGCCAGCUUGACUGCGAGCGUGACGGCGCGAGCAGGUGCGAAAGCAGGUCAUAGUGAUCCGGUGGUUCUGAAUGGAAGGGCCAUCGCUCAACGGAUAAAAGGUACUCCGGGGAUAACAGGCUGAUACCGCCCAAGAGUUCAUAUCGACGGCGGUGUUUGGCACCUCGAUGUCGGCUCAUCACAUCCUGGGGCUGAAGUAGGUCCCAAGGGUAUGGCUGUUCGCCAUUUAAAGUGGUACGCGAGCUGGGUUUAGAACGUCGUGAGACAGUUCGGUCCCUAUCUGCCGUGGGCGCUGGAGAACUGAGGGGGGCUGCUCCUAGUACGAGAGGACCGGAGUGGACGCAUCACUGGUGUUCGGGUUGUCAUGCCAAUGGCACUGCCCGGUAGCUAAAUGCGGAAGAGAUAAGUGCUGAAAGCAUCUAAGCACGAAACUUGCCCCGAGAUGAGUUCUCCCUGAGACUUUAAGUCUCCUGAAGGAACGUUGAAGACGACGACGUUGAUAGGCCGGGUGUGUAAGCGCAGCGAUGCGUUGAGCUAACCGGUACUAAUGAACCGUGAGGCUUAACCUUACAACGCCGAAGCUGUU
Molecule: ribosomal RNA, 2933 nt
Filed under: Salmonella enterica subsp. salamae serovar 57:z29:z42
Lineage: Bacteria; Pseudomonadati; Pseudomonadota; Gammaproteobacteria; Enterobacterales; Enterobacteriaceae
Description: bacterial LSU rRNA
Rfam family: Bacterial large subunit ribosomal RNA
Source: RNAcentral